This 108-nucleotide ribosomal RNA is filed under the name Amphilophus citrinellus (Midas cichlid). The record is from RNAcentral. Lineage: Eukaryota; Metazoa; Chordata; Actinopteri; Cichliformes; Cichlidae.
CUGGGCGGUCAUGCCACCCUGAUCUCGUCUGAUCUUGGAAGCUAAGCAGGGUCAGGCCCAGCUAGUAUUUGGAUGGGAGACUGCCUGGGAAUACCAGGUGCUGCAAGC